This is a long non-coding RNA of Oxyura jamaicensis (ruddy duck), 965 nucleotides long. RefSeq lists it as uncharacterized. The transcript is spliced from 2 exons. The record is from RefSeq and is a predicted model, not a curated record. NCBI's taxonomy places the organism in Eukaryota, Metazoa, Chordata, Aves, Anseriformes, Anatidae.
ACUGUAAUGCACAAUGGACAGUCACAGCUCAGUUCCCCUGGCUGUGGAGGUUUGGGGACACAAAAUGCAACCCCGCGGGCUAGUGCAAGGGCUAGUCAUUCUGGGCUGUUCCUGCUGUUUCCCCAAGCCCAGCAGACUGAGACCUCAGAGGAAGGGAGGGCCUUUUGAUCUGCUUCUGGGUAUCUCUGCUGCUUCCGAGUGCCUCCUCUUGCAGACAGCGGAGCGAUAAGAGACGGGGAGGAGAGCCUCGUUUGGACUGAGGAGUUCUGGCACUCCUGCAGGAGAUCUCUGCUCCCAGGACACCCUGGUGUCCCUACACACAGCGGCAUCCCUGCUGCAGAGCCUGUCGAGAUGCUCCAGCACCGGGUCUGCAGGGUGCUGCUGAAAUUACUCAGUCUGUCAUCUGGCCCUAGGUAUUUAACGCGACUCCUCCAGUGGCUGUACAGCUUUGCUGGUGAAGCACGAGGGAAUUCUUUCUUCCCCCCGCUCCUUUUCUACAAACCAUGGUUGCUAUAGCAAAUGGACUUCUGAAUAAACAGAUGUUUCCUGGAGAUCAAAGCAAAAAUCAGUGUACCAUGCAGGUAACCCUGCCUUGCUGGAGCAUUUUGGGGAUGGUUAAUUUAAUCAGCUUAGAGUUUCUUCUCGCUGGCCUGCUGUGUGGGUAUGCAACUCGUACAGCUUGCAGAUAGACCAGCUUUGUAGCUAGUCUUUGUACCUCCCUUACAAAAGCAUUUUGCAUUUUCUGUGGGCAGGCCCUGACCUGUUUAGCCGGGGACUUUUUGGAUUGCCACCCCUUUGAUAUGGAUGUUGACUGGAGACUUGGGCAUUCUUGAAAAUCCUGUAUCAUAAAGAAAUGUUCAUUAUCCCAUGCACUAGACUGCUGGGCUAUGUAAAGCAUCUGCAGCUUUUAAUUCUCUUAAGUAGAAAUACUUUUUCUGUAAAACAAACAGAAAAAGCUGAUAACU